RNAcentral lists this small RNA (1673 nucleotides) under Pongo abelii (Sumatran orangutan). RNAcentral's name for it is "retained intron". Lineage: Eukaryota; Metazoa; Chordata; Mammalia; Primates; Hominidae. The record is from RNAcentral.
AUUGAGCUGUCUGCUCGCUGUGCCCGCUGUGCCUGCUGUGCCCGCGCUGUCGCCGCUGCUACCGCGUCUGCUCGACGCGGGAGACGCCAGCGAGCUGGUGAUUGGAGCCCUGCGGAGAGCUCAAGCACCCAGCGCUGCCCCAGGAGCCCAGGCUGCCCUGUGAGUCCCAUAGUUGCUGCAGGAGUGAAGCCAUGAGCUGUGUCCUGGGCGGUGUCAUCCCCUUGGGGCUGCUGUUCCUGGUCUGCGGAACCCAAGGCUACCUCCUGCCCAACGUCACUCUCUUAGAGGAGCUGCUCAGCAAAUACCAGCACAACGAGUCUCACUCCCGGGUCCGCCGAGCCAUCCCCAGGGAGGACAAGGAGGAGAUCCUCAUGCUGCACAACAAGCUUCGGGGCCAGGUGCAGCCUCAGGCAUCCAACAUGGAGUACAUGACCUGGGAUGACGAACUGGAGAAGUCUGCUGCAGCGUGGGCCAGUCAGUGCAUCUGGGAGCACGGGCCCACCAGUCUGCUGGUGUCCAUCGGGCAGAACCUGGGCGCUCACUGGGGCAGGUAUCGCUCUCCUGGGUUCCACGUGCAGUCCUGGUAUGACGAGGUGAAGGACUACACCUACCCCUACCCGAGCGAGUGCAACCCCUGGUGUCCAGAGAGGUGCUCAGGGCCCAUGUGCACGCACUACACACAGAUAGUUUGGGCCACCACCAACAAGAUCGGCUGUGCUGUGAACACCUGCCGGAAGAUGACCGUCUGGGGAGAAGUUUGGGAGAACGCAGUCUACUUUGUCUGCAAUUAUUCUCCAAAGGGGAACUGGAUUGGAGAAGCCCCCUACAAGAAUGGCCGGCCCUGCUCUGAGUGCCCGCCCAGCUAUGGAGGCGGCUGCAGGAACAACUUGUGUUACCGAGAAGAAACCUACACUCCAAAACCUGAAACGGACGAGAUGAAUGAGGUGGAAACGGCUCCCAUUCCUGAAGAAAACCAUGUUUGGCUCCAGCCGAGGGUGAUGAGACCCACCAAACCCAAGAAAACCUCUGCGGUCAACUACAUGACCCAAGUCGUCAGAUGUGACACCAAGAUGAAGGACAGGUGCAAAGGGUCCACGUGUAACAGGUACCAGUGCCCAGCAGGCUGCCUGAACCACAAGGCGAAGAUCUUUGGAACUCUGUUCUAUGAAAGCUCGUCCAGCAUAUGCCGCGCCGCCAUCCACUAUGGGAUCCUGGACGACAAGGGAGGCCUGGUGGACAUCACCAGGAAUGGGAAGGUCCCCUUCUUCGUGAAGUCUGAGAGACACGGCGUGCAGUCCCUCAGGUAACUACUCUGUAAUCAGGGCUCCGUGAAACAGUUUUCCUGUUUAUGACAGCGUUGUUGAAAUUUUGAAAAGUAUCACACAGGCCGGGCAUGGUGGCUCACACCUGCACUUUGGGAGGCUGAGGCAGGUGGAUCACCUGAGGUCAGGAGUUCAAGACCAGCCUGACCAACAUGGUGAAACUCCAUCUCUACUAAAAAUACAAAAGUUAGCCAGGCAUGGUGGCACACACCUGUAAUCCCAGCUACUCUCAGGAGGCUGCGGCAGGAGAACCACUUGAGCCCGAGACGGAGGUUGUGGUGAGCCAAGAUAGUGUCACUGCACUCCAGCCUGGCUGACACAGCAAGACUCCAUCUCAAAAAAAAAAAAAAA